RNAcentral lists this long non-coding RNA (23203 nucleotides) under Manihot esculenta (cassava). Lineage: Eukaryota; Viridiplantae; Streptophyta; Magnoliopsida; Malpighiales; Euphorbiaceae. The record is from RNAcentral.
GAUAGAAAUCAGAUAGACCAUUCGCUUCUCUGUCUUCUAGUUCGUCUAUAUCUUUCACAAUCAACAAAACCAAUCUAAAGCUUGUUCUAAGUUUUCUAACAUUCAAAAUUCAUUCUAAAUCUCAUUUUAAGUUUUCUCUAAAUUUCUCUACCAAAUCCCAUCUCUCAUUCAACAAUUGAAUAUCAGAAUUCAUUUCAUUUAUAGACACUAAUCUUCGCUUAAUCUUGGGGCAAAAGAAAGAGAAACGGAACAGUCAAGGAUAAAAUAAAAUGGACUGUAGGAUUAAAAUAUUUAACCAAAUUGGUGUUCUUUCAUUUUCUGAGGGUCCUAGCCGGCAAAAGUAAAUAUUAUGCCACCAAAUAAUGUCAUACCAAUUUUUCGGAGCUAAACCAAUCAGCUAAUGUAUAUUUUAUUGUUAUUGAAAUUAAAGUUCAGACAUUUUUCUGUUACAAAUUAAUUAUUAUGUACUACUAUAUUACAACUCCUUAAUUUAGACAGUAUCAGUGAAAAUCACCCAAUUAAUAGUCAAAAUUUAACUAUUUUAUAUAUAAUGAUUAUAAUAAAAUUUCUCCUAAUUCAGCAUUAAUUAAUCUGUCCUUGAAUAAUUGAUAAUUAAUUAAAAAAAAGUGUGUAUAAUAAAAUAUUUUCAAACGUAGAUCAAAAUGGAAGUAAAGGAUAGCUUAGCUAAAUUAAAUAUUUUAUAGGUGAAAAGUCUAAAUUUAUAUAUUUAUAACUUAAUUAAUGAUAUAAAUUUGGAAAAAUAACAAUUUAGCCCCUCAAAUUUAGUGAAAUUUACUAGUUAGUUCAUUGAUUUAAAAAAACUCAUUAAAACAUUUUUGAGAUAUUAAAAAAUCUACUAAUCAGUUAUUUGUUAACUAAUCAGUUAUUUGUUAACUUUAGACAUUGAUUUAACUUUAGACAUUAAAAAAUCUUUCAUUUUAGACUUUUCUGAAUACUUAAUGGCUAAAAUUAAUGGACGGACUAAUUAGUAGAUUUUCUAAUAUCUCAUAGAUGUUUUAAUGUGUUUGUCAAAACCAAAGGGACUAACUAGUGAGUUUCACUAAACCUAAGGUACUAAUAGUAAUUCUCCCUAUAAGUUUUAACUUUUAAAUCUAUCGUGGGUCAUAUGGAAGUGUUUAGUUUGGUUACGCAUGCAAAUAACUAAUUGUUGGAAUUUGCAAUAACAAAAGCUAAAUUAGGGGCAAAUUAAAUACUAAAAAAUUAAAUAACUAAUCUAAUAUAAGCUCGAUCUCAUUAUAUGACAAAGGAAAUAUUUUACAAUAAAUAAAUAUUUGCCAGCAAUAACUUAAAUAAUUUUUUUUUCGAAUUUUUCCUUCUCGUAAAAUACAAAGACUACAAGUCUACAAGAUAACAUUAUCCCUUCCUCAAUCUUAAUCCAAGCUCCCAUCAGUUUCUUCUUCUUCUUCUUCACCUUGUUCUUGCUUGAAGCAAAAUAACUUGCUUAAAUGGUAGUAGAGUGAAGCUCUUUGUUCUUGCUCCAUUUGUGCAAAAUAUAGCCAGAAACAUCAUAGAACACAAUUCUACUUGAGUUUGUGUAAUCUCCAUAGACAUGAAACCUUGACCAUCAUGAAAAACUGCAUUUCCUUCGGAUUCCACCAAUCUACAUCUCCUGUCCAAGCUUUCGAGCUGCCUCCGCUCAUCAAAAAUUGAAGCAAACUGCAAUACAUGCACCCACAUGCGUACACACAUAUAAAUAAAUCUUCUUUGCGAAGUUUUCCUUCUUGAAAACCUUUUCUGAAAUGUUUACUCCACUACUGAGGAAAAUGUGCAUAUUCCUCUAAAUCUAAUCUGCUUUUUUUUUUUCUUUUUCUACAUGUACUUAACCGUUAGUAAAUGCAAAUUGGGACCCAGACCAGCCAAAAGGUCAAAAUUUCUUUAAAAUGGUAACUUCGAAUUUUAUCCACUGAUAUCUGAAUUUUUUUGCCAUUCUAAUAGAUAGUACAAUUCUAUUGUUGGAAAGCCUCGGAGAUGCUUAUUUCUCACCAGGAAAGUUGCAAGGUAAUACAAUUAUCGCAAUCACAAAGGGAGAAAAUUAUUGCCUUGAAGUCUUUCGUUUGAGGGAUCAUCAGCUGGUGGAAUUGGUGUUCAGCUGUGAUGACAACAACCAGAAAUGUGAACUUUCCUUUGAUUGGGCAAAAUUUUCUGCUGCCAUUAUUGCAUGGGAAGAUUAUUUACAUAAAUUACACAGAGUUACAAUUGAGCUUACCAUAUUGGAGAACGGAGGGAAUUAUAUACAUUGUUCCAUUUGAAGGUUCUUGACAAGGGAUUUCAAGUUGUUUAUAACAGUAGUCACUUGAGCUGCAACAUUGGCCGGUUUUGUUGUUCGGCAAUUUCCUUCCCCUUGCACUUUUACGUUUUCUUAAUGUAUGUAUUUCUACUCUAAGUUCGAUUUUCUAAUACGAUUCAAACAGCAUAAGAUCAAAUUAUUUAUGUUGAUUUUUUGUGGAAUCUGUAAAAUGAGUAAAAUUGCUCUACAUGUUGAUUGAAACUCAAAGCAAUCCAAUGAUUGGAUCUCUCCUUGUGCUCUGAAAAGGAAUGCGUGGAAAUCACGACAGUUCAUCCUCUGGAAAGAUGCAGUGUUUCAGCAGAAAGAAAAAGGUAAUCAUCAAAGUUUUUUAAAUAAAACUAACUGUAACUACCAAUAUGAAUUUUUACAUUUGUACAUCAGUACGGAAGCCUAUAAAGCGUAGUUCACCUAUGUUUUUUGAAGAUCAUUACAAAUUCUCUCUUUUAUUUGCAUCUGCCCUGCAUUUUUUUUUUCUAUUUAUAAUAGUGAUGGUAUAAUCCUAUUAGGUAUUAUCGAUUCUUGCAUCUUUAUGCAGCUGAGUGACUCUCUUUGGAUAUGCUCCAUUGGUGCAAAACACUGCCAAAGGCAUCAUAGAAUGCAAAAGCGGCCGUGGAGUCGGUCAUUUGCACUGACAUAAAUCCUUGGCCAUCAUAAUAUAACUUCAAUUCCUCUGGAUCCCACUUCCUUAUAUCACCCCUCCAGGCCUUUGAGCCGCCUCCACUUGUUAUGAAUUGAAUGUUGCUGCAUUGAGAAACAAUUGAUUUAAUGUUUUGCAUAAACCUUUUUAAUGUUGUUUCUUGUGGAAAUCUAUAGGUUGUACCUGUGACUGCUGCUGAUAUGUUGGAUACAGUGAUCAUGCCCGUUUAUGUAAGCAUCAACAUUAUGUUCCUGGGAAAAUAAUUGAGAAAAAAAUUGCAACUUCAAGGUUCAUGAAUAUUCUUUUGGUAAUUACUGGCUGAUUCAUUUAUUUUUAAAUUACCUGUAGAAUUGGAACAAGCUGCUGAAGAAGCUCUACUGUGAUUCCAUGAUGUCCUGCACUUAAGAUGGCAUGGUGACCAACAAGAAGUUUCCAUUUUGCAGUGGAGCUGCUCAGUGCUGCAUCCACAUCCUAUUACAGAGGUGAAAUCAAAUCCAUCAUUACCUUUCCCCGUUGUGGAUUGAAUUAUUUGUUUUAUUUACCCUUUAAAUUUUGAGAAUAGCUUUUAAAUUUCUUUUUGGAAUAAAUAAAUAUAAGAAUUCAUUUCAACUUUUGCAUCAAAUGUGGAUUUAUUAGUAAAUUUCAUAAAAUAUGCAUGGGAAUUUUGAAGCAUUACCUUCAACAGAUUUGCAAGGUAAGUCUCCCUAGGAGAAAUACCUUUCCAGUCAUAGUUGUGUUCUGGGUUUGUGAAGUAGUCAUUCACAAAUGGCGAUGUGUCCACAAAGAAAAUUUCAACAAUUUCUACAGAAAUAAGACAAAAAAAAAAAAAAUUAAAAUAUUAAUAUCAAUUAUGCCCUGAACAAAUCUCAAGCAGUUUGUUGCUUCAGGAUUUAAAUUUUUAGAAAAAAAAAAAAAAUUAGGACUUUUAUUUCUUCUUAUUUUUUUGUUUACCUGCAUUGACUAUAAAUGACCUCAUGCAAAGCCAUCUGCUAUCCUUUUGUGUGAGGAUUGGAUUCAACUGUGCUUCAACAUCACCUCUGUAAUCAUGGUUACCCAAAACUGCAGAAAAGAAAAUAAUGAAAAUAUUAAUUAAAUUAAUGGAUUCAUAUUUCUCAAAGCAUUGAAUAAUAUAAUAAUUGUAUUAAAUUUGGAGAAUUAACAUACCACUGUACCAUUGCUUUUGCAAGCUUGGGGCUGUGUAGAUAUUAGUAAAAGACUCAUAAAAAUUUGGAUCGUCAAUUCCUGUCAAGCCAUCUUCAUAAAAAUUAUCUCCAGUAGAUAUCACAAAAUCUAUGUCCAGUUCCUCUCCAAUUACUCCCAUCUGAAAAUCAUUUUACCAAAUAUAAAUAUAUACAUUUAUCAAAAAUGAUUAUUGAUAUCAUGUGAAUUUCUUCAGAAUUUUUUAAAAAAAUUAAAUAGAGAAACUUAUGAACCCAAUUCUUCUACGUUACUCAAUAUUGAAGAGAAGUGUUGCUUCAAGAGAUAGAUAAUUUCUUUAUAAAUUUUUUUCUCUUUUAGCACAUCUAAACAUAUUUUUUUUUACAUAUUCAUUAUUCAUUUCAUUAUAAAAUUUUUUAUUCUCAAAGAAAAGAAGAGAAUGGUGCAGGAAGAAAAAUUAAUACGAGACUAAAGCAGGAGAAAAUUCAUCUAUGGAUGUAAAAGAAGAAAAAGAAAAACAAGAGUACCUGUAAAGCAACUUCAGAUUGGUUGUAAAGUCCUCUUCUUCCCCAAUCUCCAAUCACCAGGAAGCUAAGGGAACCAUCAGAUUUCAAUGGCUGCUGGAAACUUUGAAGCUCAGCCAGUGAAGAAAAAGAGCAGAAACAGAUGAUGAAUGCUGCAAAAAUAAGAGGAAGCAUGGUGGGUUCUGUAAAGGCCAUGGUUGGAUUGUGAGUUGAAAUUGUGAAAGAAGGGAUUCUCCAAGCAGAAAAUUUAAAGGGGAAGACGAGAGUUAUUUUUGGCGAUCAAGUUCGAUAGUUGGCCAUGCAAAGUUAUUAUAUUUAGUAUUUGAAACCUGCAUCGCAUAUUUUUUUAUAUACUUGUAAUUUAACUUGUUUUUUAAAAAAAUUGUUAAUUUUUUAUAAAUAAUAUUAAUAUGUUAUAAUAUAUAGAAUAAGAUGCAUAUUUUUUUAAUAGCCCUGUGAGUAGAAUUCAAUGAGAGGAAACAUUUACUUCUUAAUAUUAGUAUUAUAUUGCUGCUACUAAAUAUAUAUCUAACAUUUUCUAAAUUAUUGGACAAGAAAAAGAUUCAACUAAAAACUAGACAAAAUAAAAAACUUGCCUUGAAUGUAUGAAGUUCAUAAAUUUCAACUUAUAUUAAAUAAUAAAUUUGAAAUAAUGAAAUAUUUUGUUUUGUUUUAAUUGAUAUGGAAGAGGAUAUUAAGAAUAAAAAUCUAAAAAAGACUAAGGAAUUAUUGAUUAUCAAAAAGGAUAAAAAAGAAACAUACAAAAUAUUAUGAGUUCACGAAAUUUAGUGCGUGGAACUUCAAUUUAUGAUAAUAUUUAAAUAUUUACCUGAAAUAGUGAGUUUCUGAUGAAAUGCACAUAUGGCAUGUUCUACGUGGCUAAAAGAAGUGAAAAAAAUUUCUUUAUCACGUCCAGGAUUAUUAACCUCAGCAGGACAUAGUUUUUUAACCCUUUUGCAAUCCCUUCAAUUUUGUUUAUGAUGGUACUUGCCGAAAAUUUGGAGGUGACUAUAGACCAUGUCCUCACCGUCAUUGGCUCCCUCUUUCGCUGGCUCCCUCUUUCGCUGUCGUUGCAGUUGCAGUUGCAUCUGCUUUUACCAACCAGUCGUCGUCUGCCACUUCAUCGUCGUCGUCUUCAUUCCUGAUAGAGGACCUGGCUAUGAGAUUCACGAGGGAUUGUAGUGGUGGCACAUAGAAAACUGCAGUUGCACUUGGUCUUUCUUGCUCCCACCCUUGCGAAAGUCUGGGCAGGUUGUACCAAAGUUGUGAUACCUGCAAAGAUCUUGGCGGCGAGCCUUCUCCCUAGGAUGAGCGCAUGGACAUUCCGUCCAGCCAUGUGACCUUCCACAUGCGCAAUAUCUCACCUUGAACUCAUACAUGCAACAAUGAUCACAAGAGAAGCAUCCACAGGUGAGUUCAAGUCAUCGCUCAAUGAGUUUUACUCGUUUAGUGGAGCGCCGUUAAGGAAUCAAGGAAAGGAAAACUGGUAUUUCCAUAGUUGCUGAAUGGGGAGAGUAGGGAUGACGUCGACUCGUUGAAAAAUGGGUGCCAAUGAGGGAUUUGGAUGAUCAGAUUGGAAUGGAGAAACUCUGACGUGGCAAAGGAAUUUUUUUCCUCUUUUUUUGUAACGACCCGAAAAUCGGACCGCUACCGGCGCUAGGAUCCAGGUCGACUUAAGGCCGCCGGGACCCGUAGCAAGCCUAACAUACAUCCUGAUAAACUGAUUAAUCCCAUACAUGAUCGACAAUUUACAUAAAAAUUAAAACUUUUCUUUCAUUCAUCUUCUCAUGUACCAACCUCAACCUGUGCAUGCACUGAACAUAAACAUAACUAUAAACAUUGAUCCCUCUGUGGGAUCUCAUCAAUGCCCCAAUGGGCGAUAUACAUGUGUUGAGUUGGCUAACAUCUUUAUCAUAAAACAUCUAAGAUCAUGCAUCAAAAGGGAUUACAAUAAACUAUGGUCAAGCACACUUCUAAACCUCAGUAUCGUUAUACAUAACAUAACUAUUCAACUUUACAUUAUCUUACAAUUUAUCAUGUCCACUUUCUAAUUAUUACAAACAUAAGACUUUACUCUUCUUGACUUCUUUGUCUAGCCCGUACCUGCAAUCCUGGGGGAUUAGGGAAAAGGGGUGAGCUACAAGAGCCCAGUGAGCAGAGUAAUAGAAAACAACAUUUAAAAUCUCAUGCCAUCAUGUAAUGCAACACAUCACAACAAAUCACAUCUCGGAUGGUAUUGUCACCAAUAGUCCUCUACAUUCCAAAGUGCCGGGACGUAGAAUGGGUACAACCGGUCUUUCUCUUAACAUAACAUAUCAUAACAUACCAAUGUGCCAGGGACGUAGAAUGGGUACAACCUGGACUUCCAUACCGUAUCAUGCCGUAACAUCAUCAUACCAUAUGAGGACUAAAGGAUCAUCCAAUAACCAAUCCACAUCAACAUCAUAAAUGCAAUGCAACAUAUUCGUGAUUUCUAAUGCAAACAUCCUAAUUCAUCACAUGGCAUUCAUGAUGCAUGAACAUGCNNNNNNNNNNNNNNNNNNNNNNNNNNNNNNNNNNNNNNNNNNNNNNNNNNNNNNNNNNNNNNNNNNNNNNNNNNNNNNNNNNNNNNNNNNNNNNNNNNNNNNNNNNNNNNNNNNNNNNNNNNNNNNNNNNNNNNNNNNNNNNNNNNNNNNNNNNNNNNNNNNNNNNNNNNNNNNNNNNNNNNNNNNNNNNNNNNNNNNNNNNNNNNNNNNNNNNNNNNNNNNNNNNNNNNNNNNNNNNNNNNNNNNNNNNNNNNNNNNNNNNNNNNNNNNNNNNNNNNNNNNNNNNNNNNNNNNNNNNNNNNNNNNNNNNNNNNNNNNNNNNNNNNNNNNNNNNNNNNNNNNNNNNNNNNNNNNNNNNNNNNNNNNNNNNNNNNNNNNNNNNNNNNNNNNNNNNNNNNNNNNNNNNNNNNNNNNNNNNNNNNNNNNNNNNNNNNNNNNNNNNNNNNNNNNNNNNNNNNNNNNNNNNNNNNNNNNNNNNNNNNNNNNNNNNNNNNNNNNNNNNNNNNNNNNNNNNNNNNNNNNNNNNNNNNNNNNNNNNNNNNNNNNNNNNNNNNNNNNNNNNNNNNNNNNNNNNNNNNNNNNNNNNNNNNNNNNNNNNNNNNNNNNNNNNNNNNNNNNNNNNNNNNNNNNNNNNNNNNNNNNNNNNNNNNNNNNNNNNNNNNNNNNNNNNNNNNNNNNNNNNNNNNNNNNNNNNNNNNNNNNNNNNNNNNNNNNNNNNNNNNNNNNNNNNNNNNNNNNNNUUAAAACAUUUCAUGAAAACAUGGUUUUACCCUUCUAGAGGUCUCCGACAUCCGAGAUUCCACCGGACGGUAGGAAUUCCGAUACCGGAGUCUAGCCGGGUAUUACAUUUUUAGUCAUCUAGGAUAUGCCAUAUGUGUGUUUUAUUAGAAAAUCCACCAGAAACUCACCCGAGUGACUAUUUUAUGUAAGUAUUUAAACUUUGAUGAUUUUUCUAAAAUAAACUGAAGUUGAAUGACUGUAAUUAAACUAUGAUUUAAGUUGAGUGACCAUAAAUGAAAAUUACCCCAUAAUAUACCUAUGAAGUAAUUAUGAGAAUUACAUUUAGGAAAAUUAGAUAUUUACACUUUGUAACAUUAUAUUAAUUUUUAUAAUUAUUAUAUUUCUCAAUAUUACUAAUAUUUGUGAUCAUUGCAUUUCUUAAUACUUAAAAGAAAAUAAAAUAUUUUAUAUAAAAAAAUAAAAAUAUUUGUGAGUUAUAUAAUUGUGAUAGCACAGAAAAAGAAAGAAUUGUUGUAUAUUAUUCUUAGGUACAAAUAAAUAUGUAUGCCAUCAUAAAAUAAAUAAAGAGGAAGAUAAAUACAAGACUGAUUUCAGCUUAAAAUUAUGUUGUUAUCAAGCUAAUGACAUAGAGAUUUUAUGCCUUCAAUACAUGCAAUGGUUACAUUAACAUCCCCUCUUAAACUCAAGAGGGUAAAGUAGGCACCAUCUUGAGUUUGGAAAGCAAAGUGUGAAAACGUCCAGGAAAAUGAGAUUUAGUGAAUAGACCAGUCGAUUGAUCAAUAGAAGAUAUGUAAUGAAGUUAAACUAUGCCAUUACGGAUGUGUUGUUGAAUGAAAUGACAAUCUAUUUCAAUAUAUUUUGUGCAUUCAUGAAUAUUUUGUGCAUUCAUGAAACACAUCAUUAUGAGCAAUUUGGAUAGCACUUUGAUUAUCACAAUAAAGAUUUGUAGCUACAGAGUAAUCAAUACCCAAAUCAAAAAGUAACCAUCGCAACCAAAUGAGUACUGUAACGACCCGAAAUUGGAUCGCUACCGGCGCUAGGAUCCAGAUCGACUUAAGGUCGCCGGGACCCGUAGCAAGCCUAACAUACAACCUGCUAUACCUGAUAAAUCUCAUACAUGAUCAUACAUUUACAUAAAAAUUUUAAACUUUUUCAUUCACCAAGCUUGAUUUGUGCAUGCAUCAUAACCAAAACAUAAACUCCACACAAGAGCCCUCAUCAAAUGCUCUAGUGGGACAUCAUAUCAUAUAUCAAGCUUGGUCUAGCAUUUCUUAACAUUAAAACAUUACACAUAGAUCAUGUAUCAAAAGGGAUUAACCACAAACUCUAGGGUCAAGCACAAUACUAAUCCUCGAUACAAAUUUAUAUAAUAUCUUACAAUACAUUACAUUACAUUAUCUUUCAUGUCCACAACUAACUAUUACAUACACAAUACUUUUACUCUUGAUGACUUCCUUGCCUAUCCCGGACCUACAAACCUCGGGGUUAAGGGAAAGGGGUGAGCUACUAGAGCCCAGUGAGCAGAAUAGUAAAACAAUAUAUUAAAUCAUAUGCUUUCAUGGAAUGCAUCACAUCACAAAUAAUUCACAUCAAGGAUGGACUUGUCACCAAUAGUCCUCUACACAUUCCAAUGGUGCCAGGGGCGUAGAAUGGGCCUCACUGGUCUUUCUCUUACUCUGUGCCAGGGGUGUAGAAUGGGCCUCACUAGACUUCUAUACCAUAUCAUCAUCAUCAUACCAUAUCGAGGACUAAUGGGUCAUCCAACAUCCAUCCACAUCAACAUCAAAAUAUGCAAUGCAACAUAUUCGUGAAUUCUAAUGCAAACAACCUAGUAUAUAUCAUGGCAUUCGUGAUGCAUGAACAUGCUUGAAAUUUAUUUGCUUUGAAACAUAAAGAUCCAUUCUACUUACCUCAGGCUGACUCUGACAAACUCUGAAGCAGCUACCUCACUGCUGGGGUCCUCGGUUCCUCGGGUCUGAACCUAUACAGGUGGACUAAAAUGAGGGACCAAACAUACGCAACCAUGACUCUAAACAUCUCCCCAAAAACCCCCUAAAACACCACAAAACAUUCAUAGAAAGCAUGCAAGGGAAGGCUGGACAGGGCACUUUCGGCAGCAGGUUCUGCGGCCGAAAGUCCCUCCAGAGCCGAAACUCAGCCACUUUCGGCGGCAGGUUCGGCAGCCGAAAGUGGUUCCAGAGCCGAAACUCACCAACCUUCGGGGGCAAGUUCGGCGGCCGAAACUCCCUUUCAGAGCCGAAAGUCCAAACUUUCGGGAGCAGGGUUCGGCAGCCAGAACUGCCUCCCCAGGCAGGUUCGGCGGCCGAACAUGGUUUCGGUUGCCGAACUUGAGUUCUUCCAGAAUGGCAGAACUCAGCCUCUCAUGCACAAACAGCUUCCCAAAUCCUCCAAACUCAAACCAAACCAUACAAAAAUAUGCAAAAACACAUCCUCAAGCAUUUAGGGGUCUAAAACUAACCUAUACCCCAACCAUAAACCCUAAUAUUCACAACUAACCUAAUCAUGCAUUAAAACUCUCUAAAACCCCUCAAAACUUACUUAAAGUAUCAAAGAAGGGUAGGAUCCCCACUUACCUCUUGAAAAACGAGAGGGGAGGCGAUCCAAACUUGGAGAUGGAAGAAAUCAAGCUCCGGGGUCUCCAAGCUUCCAACUUUGAUCUUUAGCUCAAAAAUCUUCAAAACCAAGUUAAAACUCAUUAAAACUUGAAGGAUUUGAGGAGAAAACACAAGAUCGACAAAAAGGGUGGCGGAGACUCACCUUGCCCAAAAAUAGAGAGAAAAACUCGCCCAUUUUCGGACAGGGGGCCUUUUAUAGGUGGCUGGCCAAACCACCUUCAGAAGCCAAAAGUGCCUCCACAACUCCAUGUUCGGCGGCCGAACAUGAGGUUCGGCGGCCGAACCUGGGUUUCUCCUCUAAAACAUUUUCUUUCAAAACUCAAUUUCUUCUUCAUUAAAACCAUAAAAACAUGUUAAAACAUUUUAGAAAAAUAUAUUUUACCCUUCUAGAGGUUUUCGACAUCUGAGAUUCCACCGGAAAAUAGGAAUUCCGAUGCCGGGGUCUAGCCGGGUAUUACAAGUACAUCAGUGGCAUAAGCUAAAGCAUGAUUUUCUGCUUAAGUACUUGAACGAGAAACUAUUGUUUAUUUCUUACUUCGCCAAGAAAUCAAAGAAUCACCUAGAAAGAAACAAAAGCCAGUAGUAGAUCAUCAAUCGGUAGAAUCACUUGCCCAGUCAGCAUCAACAUAGGCUCGUAGAUACAAGGAAGGCUGAUUUGAGAAAUGUAAGCCAUGAAAGAGAGUACCCUCGACAUAACGAAGGAUGUGAAGGACAGAUGCAUAGUGAGUUGAACGAAGGGCUGACAUAAACUGACUUACUACAUGAACAACAUGUGCAAUGUCAAGGCGAGUAAAAGUGAGAUAAACAAGACUUCCAACUAAUUGCCUGUACAGAGAAGCGUCAGACAGAAGAGUGCCAUUCGUGGGAGCAAGACGCAUAUUCGACUCUAGAGUAGGAGAUGUGAUUUUGCUAUCGGUUAAACCAGCCUUAGAAAUGAGUUCGGAUGCAUAUUUAGCUUGGGAGAGAUAAGUACCAUUGGAAGAAUGAGUAACCUCAAGACCCAAAAAAUAACUCAACAAUCCUAAAUCCUUCAUUUCAAAAGAUUGACAAAGAUGGUGCUUAAGUGCAGUGAUUCCAUUCGCAUCAUUAACAAUGAUGAUCAUAUCAUCAAAAUAAAGUAAUAAUAGAAUAAUACCUUUAUCGGAUUUUCGAAGGAAUAGAGCAGAACAAUAAGAACUUUGAUGAAAACCAUGUUGAAUAACAGUAUUGUUGAACUUAGAAAACCAAGCACGGGGAGCUUGAUUAAGACCGUACAAGGCUUUUCAAAGAUGACAAACUUUAAUUUGGUGGAUGAUCAUAGUGGAUGAGCAUAACCUGGUGGAGGUUACAUAUAUACUUCUUUAGAAAGUUCUCCAUUAAGAAAAGCAUUUUUGAUAUCCAUCUGAGACAGGGACCAUUAUUUAGCAGCAGCGAUAGCAAUUAAGCUGGGCACUGAUGUAAGGUGAGCAACUGGAGCAAAUGUCUCCUCAUAAUUAAUGUCGUAUUCUUGAGUAUACCCCUUAGCAACAAGACGUGCUUUGUGACGUUCAAUUGUACCAUCGGAACGAGUCUUGAUCUUGUAAAUCCAACCAAGGAUUUUCCUGCAGGCAAAUCAACUAAAUCCCAAGUGCUAUUUUUUUUUUCAAUGCGUGUAAUUCUUCAGUCAUGGCUUUUUGCCAUAAAGGAUUAGUACAAGCCUUGUGGUAGGUACGAGGUUCAUAAAGGGAGCUAACAGUUGAAAAAUAAUGGUAGUCAUGUUGAUAAGUAGGAGUUUCCCUUACCCGAGUGGAACAACGAAGAGGACUGGUGGAAGGAGGGGGAGCCUCAUCCAUAACAUAUAUAUUGGGAGAGGAUGUAAUAGGAGGUGCUUGAUUGAGCUCAACUGAAGAGGUACCUAUUGCAAAAUUACGGAGAUCAUAUGGAAACAACUCAAUGGAAGGGUCAGUAAAGAAAGGAGUAAUUGAAAAGGAAGACAUAGUUGAAAACUUACGAUGUUCCAAAAGACAACAUGACGAGAAAUUCGAAGACUUUGAGAGAUGGGAUCCCAACAUCGAUAACCCUUUUGUUCUAUGGAAUAUCCAAGAAAAUAACACAGGCAGGAUCGAGGUUGUAAUUUGUUAUAUUCAUGUGGUUGUAAAUGCACAAAGCAAGCACAACCAAAAACUUUGAGAAGACUAUAAUUGGGGGAGGUUUCAAAUAAUCAUUCAUAGGGAGACUGCUUACCAAUAGUAGGUGAUGGAAUGCGAUUGAUGAUAUGAACAGUUGUGAGAGUAACUUCUCCUAAAAAACAUUCGGGACAUAAAGAAGAAAAGAGAAUGGUACGAAUGGUUUUUAGAAUGUGCCAAUAUUUCCUUUCAGCUCUACCAUUUUGCUAAGAUGUGCCUGGACAAGAGUGUUGUAAAAUGGUGCCUUGCUUUUUGAGAAAUUUAAAAUGAUUUUGCUCUUUGUAUUCCAUUGCAUUAUCAGUUCGAAGAUUUUUAAUAGGACAAGAAAAUUGCAUUUAAAACAUUUGAGCAAAACUAAAAUAAAUGGCAGGUAACUCAAAGCGACUAUGCAUGAGAUAGAUCCAAGUAAAUUGAGAGUAAUCAUUGAUAGAAAUAACAAAAUAUUGACAGCUACUAAAGGUAUGAACAGGAGCAGGGCCUCAAGUGUCCGAAUGAAUUAAAUCAAAAGGUUAGGUAGAAAUUGACUCACUAAGAGAGAUGGUUGUUUAGCAAGUUGACAUGAAUGAUAAUAAAUAAUAUCAUGUUUUACAUUUCCUAGAUAUCUUGUGGAAACAAAAAACUAUAAAUGACCAAGGGAGAUAUGACCUAACCGUGAAUGCUAAAGAGUCAACAGAGAUGGAUAAGAAACUAAAGUAGCGGUGGUGGAGCAAGCAUACAUUUUUAGAGUAUUGAUCUCAAAUAAACGGCCAACUUUACACCAUGUCCCAAUGGUCUGAUUUGUUUGAGGAUCCUGAAUAACACAACCAGAAGAAGAAAAGCGAACCUCAUAACCCAUAUCACAUAGUUGACCAACAGAUAAAAGAUUGAGACUAAGUUUUGGAACAAGAUAUGUGUUAGAGAGAGAUAAAGAAGGAGUAUAGACAUGACCAACAUGUGUGAUAAACAUUUGAGAACCAUCAGCAAUAUGUAUGUUAGAUAAAGAAGAGGUGGAUUGUUUUGAGACGAAUAAAUCAGGAUUGGUGGUCAUAUGAUUGAAGCAAAUAGUGUCAAAAAACUAAAAAUUCUAAAAAUUUGUACCUAUGGUAACAAACAUGGCAGGUGAGAAAGGAUUACCAGUCACGACAGAUCGGUGUUGGAGAAAGUCUUGAAGAUCUUGCAUUGAAAAAGAUGGUGAAUGAGAGUUGAAGGUAAUUAUGUCUGUACUGUCAUCUGGAGUGACUGAAGCAGCAGUGCAUGAAUUUUGGUGUGAUUUAGAUUGAUCAAUCCCAAAAGAUCUUUUACGAGCCAACUUGCGACAAUCAAAGAUGUGAUGUCUAGGCUUCUUGCAAUAGCAACACCCUAUAGGACUAUUUUUGGAGAAGGAGCAACAACAACAAUAAUGUCAGAAGAAGUGUUACUAACAGCCAUAACCAUAUCAGUCCGUUAAAUGUGUAGAGAGCCAAGACAGGUUUCUUCUAAAAUCAAUUGUGAAACAGCUUGAUCAAGAGUAGGCAAUGGAAUCAUAUGCAGAAGAGAAGCCCAACUGGAUUCAAAUUUAUCUUUUAAAGCCAUCAAAAAUUGGAUCAAUUUGUCUUCAUUUCUGUAUUUUUAAAAUUUUUGUGCAUCAACGGGAUUCUCCUAAACAGGUUCUGAAAGAGUAAUUUGAUCCCAAAUAGAUCUCAUAUGAGCACAAAAAACGUGGAUUGAUUGUCCACGAUCUUGGUUUAUUUGAUGCAAAGUAUUGCGAAAAUGAUAGCAGAAAGCAAGAUCAUUAGUUACAUAUUGGUGUUUAAGCAUGUCUCAGAUUUCCUUAGCCGUUGCAAAAUAUCCGAACUCUUCACAGAUGGAAGGAACAACAAUGUUGCGAAACCAGGUGAUGAUUUGGUGAUUUAUGCAGUCCCAGUCUUCUAGUCUCUCGAUAUACUUGGUGUCAUUUUUAUCUGUUUUAACAGGGGCAGUGACAUCACCGAUGACUAUUUUCCAGAGCUUUCUGCCUUUCAAGAAACUGGUCAUCGUUACUAUCAUUUAAAACAAUAUCAAACUGUUAUGUCAGAUCAAAUUUCAAAGAAAACCAUUGUUAAUGAGACAGAAAGAAGGAUUGAAGUGGCUAACAAAAAGAAAAGUUAGAGCGUAGUUCUGACACCAUGAUAAUUAAAAAUGAGAAAGAAAAAAAAGAGAAAAAAUUGUUAUAUAUUGUUCUUAGAUAGUGAUAAAUAUAUAUAUUAGCAUAAAAUAACUAAAAAUUAAGAUAAAUACAAGACUGAUUUUAGCCAAAAAUUACACUGUUAUCAGGCUAAUGACACAUAGAUUUUAGGUCUUUAAUACAUGUUAUGAUGAUGUUAACAAAUUCCAUGAUAUGGUAUAUAUAUACAUAUAAAAUAAUAAUAUUUUUUAAAAAAGUAAUAAAUAUGUCAUUUUUAUUCAGUACUCAUUCACUUCAACUUAUUUUUUAUAAAAAAGUAUUAAUUAAAAUAAUUAAUAUAAAAAUAAUCAUAUCAUAAUGUCUAAUUAAAUCAAUUGUAUUUUAUUUUAAACUCUUAUUGUUCUAUAAAUUUAUUUAUCUAAAUUCAAUUAUUAAAAUUAAAAUUUUAUAAUUUUAAAUUAUUAAUUAAAAUUUAUUUAAAGAGAAAAGGAGAGAGAAAAGAGAAAAAAAAAAAAAGAAGAAACCAUCGACAAGAAACAUGUAAUGGGUGUGUAAAUUAUUUUCCUUUUUCCUAUUGUUUGACCCCUCGUCCCUAAUUUCUCUCGUCGAGAGUGUGGCUGGACUGAAUUUUUUGUUUUUUUCGCUUUGUUGUUUCUUUUAAUAUGGUGUAGAUUUGAGAGUUUUCUGCUGCGAGAGAGAUAAUAUAUUAAACAUAUAGUUUAAAGGGGUGCUCCGAUUGACUUCUAUGAAAGAUUCUGAUUUAAAUGAUAUUAGUAUCUCAGUAUCACACCACUACAUCUGAUGAUCAUUACUUUCAUAUAUCGUAGAUAGACUGAUCUCCUCUCUUUUAUGUUGUAUGAAUGAUCGAUCCUUAGCUUGAAGGCCUGAUGUGUAUUUGCCUGUGUUGCAUAUUGGUUUGCUUUUACUUUUCUUGCCGUCAUCGAUGACCUAGUCUCUUUCUGCUUAUGGUUGGAUGAUCAAUAUUUGUGCUCCACUUUUGAAAUAGUGUGUUGGUGAGUGUGGUGUUCAUAGGGUUGAGUCUGUGCAUGGAGACUAAUGUCGUGUUUGUUCAUUUUCUUAAUUCUUUUUCAAUUUAAUUUAAUUAUUUUAAAUUGAUUUAUUUUUUAUUAUUUGGAUUAGAUUAUUGUAUUUAGGGAUUUAGGCUUAUUUCUACUUUUGAUGGAUUGAACCUUUAAUUUUAAUUUUUUAACUCUUUAUAGCACGAUGAACAAUGAAAAAUAUUUAAACUCUAAUAGUUGAGAUAUGAUAAAACUCACAAAAUAGUUAAUUAUUAAAUUUUUCAUAACAAAUUAGUUCAUAAAUUUAAUUUUUCUCUAAUAAAAUCAUCAUUCCAAUAAUAAAAUUUACUAAUAAAAAGAAUAAAUUACUGUUAUUAAUAAAAAGUAUAAAUUACUGUUAAUUAAUUAUUGACUAAAAGUUUUAUAUUUUUUAAUGUUUAAAUUAUUUCUCUACUUGAUUAAUAUUUUAUUUCUUAAUAAAUUUCUUUCAUUAUUUUAAUAAUAAAAAUUUAAAAUUAUUAUUUUAAUUCUUAAAUAUCAGUGAAUUUAUAGAUUUUAUACAUUAUUUAUUUUAUUAUUAUUAUAAAUAAUUUUAAUUUUAAAAAUAUAAAAUUAAUAUUCUAUAAAUAUAAAAAUUUUCAUACUUAUAAAAAUUAAUUUAAACAGACUCCAUAAGUAUAAAAAUCAAUUUUUAAUUUUAAUUAAAUAUAAAAAUUGUUAUACUUGUACAAUUAGACGGACUCCUAAUAAUAAAAUUAUUUUUUAAUUCUAUAAUUUUUAUAUUUGCAGAAUAUAGAAAUUAGCUUUUAAGAAAAUUAAAAUUAUUAAUUAUUAAUUUUUAUACUUAUAAAAUAUUAAUUUUAUAUUUCAAAAAUUAAAAUUAUUUACAAAAAUAUUUGUUAUUAAAAAUUUAUUGAAGGAUUAGUGUUUGAGUUUUAUUAACAUCUGGAGUCCCGGCUUUAUUUAUUUAUUUUCCUUUGAAGACAGAACUCACCCAAGUGAAGUUAACCAGUAGAUUGAGAAAUAAAAAUUAUGGAAGACGCGAAGCACCCUCGUCUCAUCCUCCAUGAAUUCCUUUCCCUCGAUGAAUGCAAGGAAUUGGAAUUCAUUCAUAAGAGUAGCAGUACUGUGGGCUAUCGUCCCAACGUCUUCUCCACCACUUCCUUUCAUCUCAUCGCUACGAAUUGUCUCCACUUUAUCAUCCCUUUCGUUCCCAUCCGAGGUUAUUUUUCUUUCCUUUUGUUUUCCUGGUCUGUUAGUUUCCUUCAUACCUUGGUCUCCUGUUUUUUUUUUUGACUGUUUUCGUUUCGAUGACAGAGAAAGUAGAGGAGUUCUUUGGCUGUUAGUAUGAGCUAUUCGUGGAAUUCACUGGUAUGAUUAGGUUGGUUUUGUGUUUCUUUUUCUCUUUACUCUAAUUCUACUAAUCCAGCUGCAAUGGAUCACAGAUUUGGUUUUUUUUUUUGUCUGGAAUUCGUACUUGGAUAGAUUUUGAUAAUUUUCAGCGUAAUUGGGAAACUGGGUUUUUGCUUUAGGAUUUUUCUAAGACAACAGUUGUUGCAAUCUUGCUUGAUCAUAAAUCUUCAUCUUGCUUAUUUGAUCCUGAGUCCUGACGAUAUGCUGCCUUCUGAUUCUGAAUCAGCUGGACUAAAGGAGCCAGCAUUGGAUGGCACAGUGAUGAUAAUAGGCCCUAUCUGAAACAACGGGACUUCACGGUAAGUGAUCAUAUUAUCUCUUUGCUUUUGUGAGUUUAUCCAUUGCUCCAUCAUUGCGCUAUUUUUAGUUCAUUUUUUUUUCUCCCUUCCGUAUUUUGUAUUCCUCGAUUCGUUUAAUGUCUCUUACAUUGCUAUCUUCUUUGCAUUACGUUAUUUAAUUCUGCUAAGAGUUUUUCAUGCUUCUCUCUUGGCGAAAAGGCAGUCUGUUACUUAAAUACUUAUGCAAAGGAUUUCAAAGUUUUCCUUCUUGAAAACCUUUUCUGGAAUGUUUACUCCACUACUCAGGAAAACGUGCAUAUUAUUCUAAAUCUGAUUCGCAUUUUUUUUUUCUAUAUGUACUUAACCGUUAGUACAUGCAAAUUGGGACCCAGACUAGCCAAAAGGUCAAACUUGCUUUAAAAUGGUAACUUUGAAUUUUAUCCACUGAUAUCUGAAAUUUUUUGCCAUUCUAAUUGAUAGUACAAUUCUAUUGUUGGACAGCCUCGCAGUUGCUUAUAUCGGACCAGGAAAGUUGCAAGGUAAUACAAUUAUCACAAUCACAAAGGGAGAAAAUUAUUGCCUUGAAGUCCUUCGUUUUGAUGGAGCAUCAGCUGGUGGAAUUGGUGUUCAGCUGUGUCGACAGCAACCAGAAAUGUGAACGUUCCUUUGAUUGGGCAAACUUUUCUGCUGCCAUUAUUGCAUGGGAAGAUUAUUUACAUAAAUUACACAAAGAGUUACUAUUGAGCUUACCAUAUUGGAGAACAGACGGAAUUAUAUACAUUGUUCCAUUUGAAGGUUCUUGACAAGGGAUUUCAAGUUGGGAUUUCAAGUUGUUUAUAACAUUAGUGACUUGAGCUGCAGCAUUGGCCGGUUUUGUUGUUCGGCAAUUUCCUUCCCCUUGCACUUCUACGUUUUCUUAAUGUAUGUAUUUCUGCUCUAAGUUGGAUUUUCUAAUACAACUCAAACAGCAUAAGAUCAAAUUAUUUAUGUUGAUUUUUUGUGGAAUCUGUAAAAUGAGUAAAAUUGCUCUACAUGUUGAUUGAAACUCAAAGCAAUCCAAUGAUUGGAUCUCUCCUUGUGCUCUCAAAAGGAAUGCGUGGAAAUCAAACGACAGUUCAUCCUCUGGAAAGAGGCAAUGCUUCAGCAGAAAGAAAAAGGUAAAAUCAUCAAAGAUUUUUAAAUAAAACUAAUUGUAACUACCAAUAUGAAUUUUUACAUUUGUACAUCAGUAUGGAAGCCUAUAAAGCGUAGUUCACCUAUGUUUUUUGAAGGUCAUUACAAAUUCUCUUUUUUAUUUGCAUCUGCCCUGCAUUUUUUUUUGUAUUUAUAAUAGUGAUGGUAUAAUCCUAUUAGCAAUUAUCGAUUCUUGCAUCUUUAUGCAGCUGAGUGACUCUCUUUGGAUAUGCUCCAUUGGUGCAAAACACUGCCAUAGGCAUCAUAAAAUGCAAAAGCGGCCGUGGAGUCGGUCAUUUGCACUGACAUAAAUCCUUGGCCAUCAUAAUAUAACUUCAAUUCCUCUGGAUCCCACUUCCUUAUAUCACCCCUCCAGGCCUUUGAGCCGCCUCCACUUGUUAUGAAUUGAAUGUUGCUGCAUUGAGAAACAAUUGAUUUAGUGUUUUGCAUAAACUUUUUUAACGAUGUUUCUUGUGGAAAUCUAUAGGUUGUACCUGUGACUGCUGCUGAUAUGUUGGAUACAGUGAUCAUGCCCGUUUAUGUAAGCAUCAACAUUAUGUUCCUGGGAAAAUAAUUGAGAAAAAAAUGGCAACUUCAAGGUUCAUCAAUAUUCUUUUGGUAAUUACUGGCUGAUUCAUAUAUUUUUAAAUUACCUGUAGAAUUGGAACAAGCUGCUGUAGAAGCUCUACUGUGAUUCCAUGGUGUCCUGCACUUAAGAUGGCAUGGUGGCCAACAACAAGUUUCCAUUUUGCAUUGGAGCUGCUCAGUGCUGCAUCCACAUCCUAUUACAGAGGUGAAAUCAAAUCCAUCAUUAGCCUUCCCAGUUGUGCAUUGAAUUAUUUGUUUUAUUUACCCUUUAAUUUUUUAGAAUAGCUUUUAAACUUUUGUUUGGAGUAAAUAAAUAUAAGAAUUCAUUUCAACUUUUGCAUUAUGUCAAAUAUGGAUUUACUAGUAAAUUUCAUAAAAUAUGCAUGUGAAUUUUCAAGCAUUACCUUCAACAGAUUUGCAAGGUAAGUCUCCCUAGGAGAAAUACCUUUCCAGUCAUAGUUAUGUUCUGGGUUUGUGAAGUAGUCAUUCACAAAUGGAGAUGUGUCCACAAAGAAAAUUUCAACAAUUUCUACAGAAAUAAGACAAAAAAAUAAUUAAAAUAUUAAUAUCAAUUAUGCCCUGGACAAAUCUCAAGCAGUUUGUUGCUUCAGGAUUUAAAUUUUUAGAAAAAAAUUAAAAAUUAGGACUUUUAUUUCUUCUUCUUAUUAUUUUUUUGUUUACCUGCAUUGACUAUAAAUGACCUCAUGCAAAGCCAUCUGCUAUCCUUUUGUGUGAGGAUUGGAUUCAACUGUGCUUCAACAUCACCUCUGUAAUCAUGGUUACCCAAAACUGCAGAAAAGGAAAUAAUGAAAAAAUUAAUUAGAUUAAUGGGUUCAUAUUUCUCAAAGCAUUGAAUAGUAUAAUAAUUGUAUUAAAUUUGGAGAAUUAACAUACCACUGUACCAUUGCUUUUGCAAGCUUGGGGCUGUGUAGAUAUUAGUAAAAGACUCAUAAAAAUUUGGAUCAUCAAUUCCUGUCAAGCCAUCUUCAUAAAAAUUAUCUCCCGUAGAUAUCACAAAAUCUAUGUCUUGUUCCUCUCCAAUUACUCCCAUCUGAAAAUCAUUUUACCAAAUAUAAAUAUAUACGUUUAUCAAAACUGAUGAUUAAUGUCAUGUGAAAUUAUUUAGAAUUCAGGGUUCCUAAAAAAAACAAAAUAAAUAAAUAAAUAGAGAUACUUAUAAACCCAAUUCUUCUACGGUACCCAAUAUUGAAGAGAAUUGUUGCACUCUCAGGGUCAUGAAAUAGAUAAUUUCAAAAGGCUGAAGAAGAAAAGGCUUAUAUAAUUCAUAUCGUUAUGGAAGCAACUUUCCUUUUAUAAUAUACAAAAAAAAAAAAAUUUGUAGAAAUAAUUUUUAUAAACUAUAAAGUCAAAAUUGAAAUUUAUCCUUAAAAACUUGUAUAUAUAGAUGUAAAAGCAGGAGAGUAGAGAAUUCAUAUAUGAAUGUAAAAGGGAAAAAGAAAAACAAGAGAGGACCUGUGAAGCAACUUCAGAUUGGUUGAAAAGUCCUCUUCUUCCCCAAUCUCCAAUCACCAAGAAGCUAAGAGAACCAUCAGAUUUCAAUGGCUGCUGGAAACGUUGAAGCUCAGCCAAUGAUGAAAAAGAGCAGAAACAGAUGAUGAAGGCUGCAAAAAUAAGAGGAAGCAUGGUGGGUUUUGUGAAGCCCAUAGUUGAAUUGUGAGAUGAAAUUGUGAAAAAGUGGAUUCUCUAAGCAGAAAAUUUAAGGGAAAAAUGGGAGUUAUCUUUGGCGAUUCGGAAGUUGGCCAUGCAAAUACAAUAACCCUUUAUAGCUUCGUGGUGGAGGUUGGUUUGCCGUAACUUGUGAGGACAUGAAAUCAAAGUUGUUUCAAAUUCUUUUCAUCUUAGCAUAGCUAACUAUAAACAUAUAAAGGAUGAUAAUUAAAUACCAUUUUAAAAGCUAACCAAUAAUAAAUUAGUAAAUUGCUCAUUAACACUUUUACAAAUUAGUGUUUUAAUUUGUAUUUGUUGUAAUUUAAAGUUGUAGCUAUUUAUAUAUCUUUUUAAAUUAUCCCUUAAUUUUCCUUUAAUUUUGAAAAUCAUAAUCACAUUAAAUUUCACAUUCAAAAAAAGUUUUGUUGUCAAUUAUAAAAAUAUAUCAACAAUCUUAAUUUUUUGUGACAUAAAAAUUUAUUUAUAAUUAUUUUAUCCCUAUGUAAUCAAUUUUUAGUUAUUAUUAUAUGAAUAUAUUAUAUUUGGUAUAACUAUUUGAGCUGGAUGAGAGGAAACUUUCACGUCCGGUUUUGAAGGGGGAAACUCUAUAAGAUCCUAUCCCAAUUUUUCUUUUGCUAGUAUAUUAUCCAAAACAUUAAUUAAUUAAAAAAUAUACUUAUGUAUUUUUAUUGAUUGUUCAAUGGCUCAUUAAGAUUAGUUUUAUUAAAUCUUAGUUUCACAUUGCAGGAAUAUGUUUUGGUCUCUUAUGUCCUAGUUUUUAUUAUGAUAUCUUCAUAUUAUAUUUUUCGUUUAGUGUCUUUAAAUUACAUAUUGAAUGUAUUGGUAGAUUUACUAAAAAAGUAUGGUAUGGACCCUAUUAAGUUUUUUUUUAAUUAUUUAAAAGUAAUAAAAAAUAUAAUGUAUAAAAAAAAUAAUAAAUGCACUACUAUUAUUAUGUGGUAAAAGUACAGUCUCUAAAUUUUUAUUAAUUAUAACAAUUAUACAUUGUUCUAAAAUUUGGCACUCUCUGCCUUUGAUUUAGGGAAAAUUAUUAUGUAGUAUAUACAAAGAUUUUAUUGUAGCUAUUAAUAAUAGUGGGUUCCAUAUAAGUCUUACUGAAUACUAAUUAUUUGCAUCAGUGCUACCUGAACUUAGAGGUUAUAACAUAAUGCUAAUUAAUAAUAAUUUGUAACAAAAAAAAAAAAUCUGAACUUCAAUUGAGGUAACGAUAAGCUAUCUAUGGACUGAUUGGUAAUGAUUGAGCUCUAGAAAAAUGAACGCGGCCUUUGCAUUGACAUUGUAAAUAUAUAUAUAUUUUUUCCAGCAUAGAGCACUACUAACCAUACUAGUGCUAACUAUGUAAGACUAUUAACCCAAUUAAAAUUGUUUUCAAUUAUUCCUAAGCCCUAAACUUUUUCAUUUUAGAAUACCCAAAUCUUCCUCUGCAUCUCUCCCUCCUUCUCAGAUGUCUUGAGCCUCAAGUAGAAUUGAUCAAAUAUGCCAUUUGUUGUCGAAGAGUUGAAGGUGUGGGAUGGAGGUUGUGAUUAAAACUUCUUUGACAGAUAGAAAUCAGAUAGACCCUUGGCUUUUCUCUGUCUUCUGGUUUGUCUAUCUCUUUCACAAUCAACAAAACCAAUCUAAAGCUUGAACUAAGUUUUCUAACAUUCAAAAUUCAUUCUAAAUCUCAUUUUAAGUUUUCUCUAAAUUUCUCUACCUAAUCCCAUCUCUCAUUCAACAAUUGAAUAUCAAAAUUCAUUUCAUUUAGAGACACUAAUCUUCGCUUAAUCAUGGGGCAAAAGAAAGAGAAACGGAACGGUCAAGGAUAAAAUAAAAUGGACUGUAGGAUUAAAAUAUUUAACCAAAUUGGUGUUCUUUCAUUUGCUGAGGGUCCUAGCCGGCAAAAGUAAAUAUUAAAAAUGCCACCAAAUAAUGUCAUACCAAUUUUUCGGAGCUAAACCAAUCAGCUAAUGUAUAUUUUAUUGUUAUUGAAAUUAAAGUUCAGACAUUUUUCUGUUACAAAUUAAUUAUUAUGUACUACUAUAUUACAACUCCUUAAUUUAGACAGCAUCAGUGAAAAUCACCCAAUUAAUAGUCAAAAUUUAACUGUUUUAUAUAUAACAAUUAUAAUAAAAUUUCUCGAUUCAGCAUUAAUUAAUCUGUCCUUGAAUAAUUGAUAAUUAAUUUAAAAAAAGUGUGUAUAAUAAAAUAUUUUCAAACGUAGAUCAAAAUGGAAGUAAAGGAUAGCUUAGCUAAAUUAAAUAUUUUAUAG